UACGGAGGGGGCUAGCGUUGUUCGGAAUUACUGGGCGUAAAGGGCGCGUAGGCGGCGAUUCAAGUCAGGCGUGAAAGGCCUGGGCUCAACCCGGGAACUGCGUUUGAUACUGGAUUGCUGGAGUCCGGGAGAGGAUGGCGGAAUUCCCAGUGUAGAGGUGAAAUUCGUAGAUAUUGGGAAGAACACCGGUGGCGAAGGCGGCCAUCUGGACCGGAACUGACGCUGAGGCGCGAAAGCGUGGGGAGCAAACCGG
RNAcentral lists this ribosomal RNA (253 nucleotides) under uncultured bacterium. Its description in RNAcentral is "partial 16S ribosomal RNA". It matches the Rfam family "Bacterial small subunit ribosomal RNA", at positions 524 to 776 of the family's 1533-position model. The record is from RNAcentral.